Molecule: long non-coding RNA, 247 nt
Organism: Octopus sinensis (East Asian common octopus)
Lineage: Eukaryota; Metazoa; Mollusca; Cephalopoda; Octopoda; Octopodidae
Exons: 3
Source: RefSeq, a predicted model, not a curated record
AAACCAUGCCAAAGCAGACACUGAAGCCCAACACAGUCUUCCAAUUCAUUGAAUCCUAUUGAAAGCAUCUAACUCAUGCCAGCAUAGAAGAUGAACAUUAUAAAAUGGAUGAGGGAGAGGAGUUAUUCUGGGUUUUUAAAGUUGAAAAAAAAAAUUUUUUUCUAGUUAUAAAUAAAUUUUACUGAAUUGAAAUAGUAAGGUGAGUGGACAGGUGGAGGGAAAGAUGAGACACGAGGCAACAAGUACU